Nelumbo nucifera (sacred lotus) is the source of this 73-nucleotide non-coding RNA. The record is from Rfam. NCBI's taxonomy places the organism in Eukaryota, Viridiplantae, Streptophyta, Magnoliopsida, Proteales, Nelumbonaceae.
GGGGAAGUAACUCAAGUGGUAAAGCGCUCGCUUUGCAUGCAAGAGGUACUGGGUUCGAUACCCCGCAUCUCCA